RNAcentral lists this ribosomal RNA (429 nucleotides) under Chloroflexota bacterium. Its description in RNAcentral is "Chloroflexi bacterium partial 16S ribosomal RNA". It matches the Rfam family "Bacterial small subunit ribosomal RNA", at positions 355 to 776 of the family's 1533-position model. The record is from RNAcentral. Lineage: Bacteria; Bacillati; Chloroflexota.
UGGGGAAUAUUGCACAAUGGGCGCAAGCCUGAUGCAGCCAUGCCGCGUGUAUGAAGAAGGCCUUCGGGUUGUAAAGUACUUUCAGUCGGGAGGAAGGUGGUAAGGUUAAUAACCUUAUCAAUUGACGUUACCGACAGAAGAAGCACCGGCUAACUCCGUGCCAGCAGCCGCGGUAAUACGGAGGGUGCAAGCGUUAAUCGGAAUUACUGGGCGUAAAGCGCACGCAGGCGGUUGAUUGAGUCAGAUGUGAAAUCCCCGGGCUUAACCCGGGAAUUGCAUCUGAUACUGGUCAGCUUGAGUCUUGUAGAGGGGGGUAGAAUUCCAUGUGUAGCGGUGAAAUGCGUAGAGAUGUGGAGGAAUACCGGUGGCGAAGGCGGCCCCCUGGACAAAGACUGACGCUCAGGUGCGAAAGCGUGGGGAGCAAACAGG